ACGUAAUAGAUACCCCGGUAGUCCACGCCCUAAACGAUGUCUACUAGUUGUUGGUGGAGUAAAAUCCAUGAGUAAACGCAGCUAAACGCGUGAAGUAGACCGCCUGGGGAGUACGGUCGCAAGAUUAAAAACUCAAAGGAAUUGACGGGGGCCCGCACAAGCGGUGGAUUAUGUGGAUUAAUUCGAUGCAACGCGAAAAACCUUACCUGGCCUUGACAUGCCACUAACGAAGCAGAGAUGCAUUAGGUGCCCGUAAGGGAAAGUGGACACAGGUGCUGCAUGGCUGUCGUCAGCUCGUGUCGUGAGAUGUUGGGUUAAGUCCCGCAACGAGCGCAACCCUUGCCAUUAAUUGCCAUCAUUUAGUUGGGCACUUUAAUGGGACUGCCGGUGACAAACCGGAGGAAGGUGGGGUAUGGACGUCAAGUCCUCAUGGCCCGUUACUGGUCCGA
This 449-nucleotide ribosomal RNA is filed under the name uncultured bacterium. Its description in RNAcentral is "bacterial SSU rRNA". It matches the Rfam family "Bacterial small subunit ribosomal RNA", at positions 772 to 1212 of the family's 1533-position model. The record is from RNAcentral.